RNAcentral lists this ribosomal RNA (1704 nucleotides) under Triticum aestivum (bread wheat). RNAcentral's name for it is "partial small subunit ribosomal RNA". The record is from RNAcentral. Lineage: Eukaryota; Viridiplantae; Streptophyta; Magnoliopsida; Poales; Poaceae.
AUGAAUGGUGUAUUAACUAAAGGUGGAAAAAGAUACUUCAUGACACUGAUAGAUGAUUCUACUAGAUAUUGUUGUGUAUAUCUUUUAAACACUAAAGAUGAUACUCUACACUACUUUAAAAUCUAUAAGGCAGAAGUUGAGAAUCAACUUGAAAAGAAAAUAAAACGAGUUCGGUCAGAUCGUGGUGGAGAGUAUUUCUCUAAUGAGUUUGAUUCUUUCUGUGCGGAACACGGUAUUAUUCAUGAGAGGACGCCUCCCUAUUCACCUCAGUCAAAUGGGGUUGCCGAGUGGAAAAACCGUACUCUAACUGAUUUGGUUAACGCCAUGUUAGAUACAUCGGGUUUAUCCAAGGCAUGGUGGGGGGACGCUAUAUUGACGGCAUGUCAUGUCCUGAAUAAAGUUCCGACAAAGGAUAAUGAGAUCACUCCCUAUGAGAAAUGGGCGAAGAGAAGGACAACACUUUCGUACUUGCGUACGUGGGGCUGUUUGGCGAAAGUCAAUGUGCCGAUCCCCAAAAAGCGUAAGCUUGGACCCAAGGCUGUGGACUGCGUUAAUUUGGGCUACACUAAGAACAACGUUGGCUAUAGAUUUCUAGUAGUGAAAUCUGAGGUACCUGACCAGAAGGUUGGUACAAUUAUGGAGUCUAAGGAUGCUACAUUCCUUGAGGAUAUUUUUCAUAUGAGAGAUAUGCAAAGCACUUCUAGACAGGAAUCUGAGGAGACUCCUGAGCCUGCCAUUCCUAUGGAUUAUUAUGAACAAACACAUGAUGAAAAUCCUAAAGAGGUAGACGAGGAAACCCUUGGUAGGGGCAAGAGACAAAGGACUGCAAAGACCUUUGGUGAUGAUUUCAUCGUGUACCUCGUGGAUGAUACUCCCACUUCUAUUUCAGAAGCGUAUGCCUCUCCAGAAGCUGACUACUGGAAGGAUGCGGUCCGUAGUGAGAUGGAUUCCAUCAUGGCUAAUGGGACAUGGGAGAUCACUGAGUGUCCCUAUGGUUGCAAACCAUUAGGAUGUAAGUGGGUGUUCAAAAAGAAGUUUAGGCCCGAUGGUACGAUUGAAAAAUACAAGGCUAGGCUUGUGGCCAAGGGCUAUGACCAGAAAGAAGAGGAAGAUUUUUUCGACACUUAUUCACCUGUGGCUAGACUGACCACCAUUCGAGUAUUACUCUCGUUGGCGGCCUCGCAUGGUCUUCUCGUCCACCAGAUGGAUGUUAAGACGGCUUUUCUGAAUGGAGAGUUAAAUGAGGAAAUCUACUUGCAACAGCCAGAUGGCUUUGUGAUAGAUGGUCAGGAAAGAAAGGUGUGUAGGCUGCUGAAAUCUUUAUAUGGCCUGAAGCAAGCACCUAAGCAAUGGCAUGAUAAGUUUAAUACAACUCUGACAUCUGUUGGUUUCGUUGUUAAUGAGGCUGACAAAUGUGUAUACUAUCGCCAUGGUGGGGGCGAAGGAGUUAUACUGUGCUUGUAUGUUGAUGACAUAUUGAUAUUCGGAACCAACCUCAAAGUCAUUGAGGAGGUCAAGUCGUUUCUGUCUCAGAACUUUGAGAUGAAAGACCUUGGUGUGGCUGAUGUUAUCUUGAACAUCAAGCUACUGAGGGAUAAUGAGGGUGGUAUUACACUUCUGCAAUCCCACUAUGUUGAGAAGGUGUUCAUUUUGGAUAUUCGGACUGCACACCAUCUCAAACACCAUAUGAUCCUAGCGUGUUGA